CAAUAGCCCUGAUGGGAGCGGUGCCUUGCAAAGCAGACAGCAGGAAAAGGG
This 51-nucleotide small RNA is filed under the name Flavobacterium cauense R2A-7. RNAcentral's name for it is "Flavo-1 RNA". Lineage: Bacteria; Pseudomonadati; Bacteroidota; Flavobacteriia; Flavobacteriales; Flavobacteriaceae. The record is from RNAcentral.